CCACAAUUUCUUAAUCCAGUCUGAGAUAGAAUACUUUCAGUAGUGCUUUGAGUUUGUUUUUCAAGUAAACCUCUUCCCAUGCCAUGCGUCCUAUUGUAAUGAUUGCUAAUGAUUCUAACAUUGCUGUAACCAUAUUUUACCAUAAUUAACAUUGUAGAUAUUUGCCUGCCCAAUUAGCUGGAGGCUCCUUGAUGGCAGAGACUGCCUCCUUGGUAUCCCCAGCACACAGCACAGAACCUGGCACAUACUGUUGCCUCCACGUACCUGAAAUGCCAGUGCUCCAGCUGUCUUGAUUGAGAGGCCUAGUUUGCAAGAAAACAAGACAAAAUACUUUGCUGCCUUAAUUCCAGUGGGAAUUUAAUUUAAUUAGCAUCUGAUUUACACAAUGCACUUCUGACAGCUGUGUUUGUGGAGUCUCUGUGGAAGCAAGAAAUUACCAUCCAUUGAAAUCAUCAUCAAAGCUUAUUUAUCAUCCUGCCAUGUCUUUCCAGCCUUCAGCCUUGGGAACUUCUGUGUGUUUAUUGCACAUUCAUGAAGGUUACAGUAAAUAAUACUCAACAACCCCGAGAGCACAUCACAGUAUGGAGAAAACAUAAGAUCAAAGAAGCAUGCAACACUGAGCUAUCACACGGAGAACACCUGUCUG
RNAcentral lists this long non-coding RNA (646 nucleotides) under Homo sapiens (human). RNAcentral describes it as "HSALNT0298502". Lineage: Eukaryota; Metazoa; Chordata; Mammalia; Primates; Hominidae. The record is from RNAcentral.